Molecule: ribosomal RNA, 515 nt
Filed under: uncultured bacterium
Lineage: Bacteria
Description: bacterial SSU rRNA
Rfam family: Bacterial small subunit ribosomal RNA
Source: RNAcentral
AGUAACACGUGAAUAAUCUACCUUCGAGUGGGGAAUAACUGAGAGAAAUCUUAGCUAAUACCGCAUAAAACCUACGGGUCAAAGCAGCAAUGCGCUUGAAGAGGAGUUCGCGGCAGAUUAGUUAGUUGGCGGGGUAAUGGCCCACCAAGACGAUGAUCUGUAUCCGGCCUGAGAGGGCGCACGGACACACUGGAACUGAAACACGGUCCAGACUCCUACGGGAGGCAGCAGUGGGGAAUUUUGCGCAAUGGGGGAAACCCUGACGCAGCAACGCCGCGUGGAGGAUGAAAUCCCUUGGGAUGUAAACUCCUUUCGAUCGGGAAGAUAAUGACGGUACCGAGAGAAGAAGCCCCGGCUAACUUCGUGCCAGCAGCCGCGGUAAUACGAGGGGGGCAAGCGUUGUUCGGAAUUAUUGGGCGUAAAGGGUGCGUAGGCGGUUUGAUAAGUCACAUGUGAAAUCUUCGGGCUCAACCCGAAGUCUGCAUGCGAAACUGUCGGGCUUGAGUAUGGGAGAG